This is a long non-coding RNA of Amblyraja radiata (thorny skate), 74 nucleotides long. RefSeq lists it as uncharacterized. The transcript has 3 exons. Lineage: Eukaryota; Metazoa; Chordata; Chondrichthyes; Rajiformes; Rajidae. The record is from RefSeq and is a predicted model, not a curated record.
AACCAGAAUUUCCCAAAUUUCCGGUAAUUUCUUUCAAAGUGGAAACACGGAUUAGAAUGAAGCAGUGAAAGAUU